RNAcentral lists this ribosomal RNA (254 nucleotides) under uncultured prokaryote. RNAcentral's name for it is "partial 16S ribosomal RNA". It matches the Rfam family "Bacterial small subunit ribosomal RNA", at positions 524 to 776 of the family's 1533-position model. The record is from RNAcentral.
CACGUAGGGGGCGAGCGUUGUCCGGAUUUAUUGGGCGUAAAGAGCUCGUAGGCGGCUCGGUAAGUCGGGUGUGAAAUUUCGAGGCUUACCCUCGAAACGCCACCCGAUACUGCUGUGGCUAGAGUCCGGUAGGGGAGCGUGGAAUUCCUGGUGUAGCGGUGAAAUGCGCAGAUAUCAGGAGGAACACCAGCGGCGAAGGCGGCGCUCUGGGCCGGUACUGACGCUGAGGAGCGAAAGCGUGGGGAUCAAACAGG